RNAcentral lists this ribosomal RNA (729 nucleotides) under uncultured Bacteroidota bacterium. RNAcentral's name for it is "bacterial SSU rRNA". It matches the Rfam family "Bacterial small subunit ribosomal RNA", at positions 75 to 788 of the family's 1533-position model. Lineage: Bacteria; Pseudomonadati; Bacteroidota. The record is from RNAcentral.
UCGGGGGCCCGAGUAGAGUGGCGUCCGGGUGAGUAACACGUAGGUAAUCUACCUCUGGGUGGGGAAUAACGACCGGAAACGGUCGCUAAUACCGCAUAAUGCAGCGGCACCACAUGGUGACAGUUGUUAAAGCGGGGGAUCGCAAGACCUCGCGCCUAGAGAGGAGCCUGCGGCGGAUUAGCUAGUUGGCAGGGUAACGGCCUACCAAGGCGACGAUCCGUAGCCGGCCUGAGAGGGCGGUCGGCCACACUGGCACUGACACACGGGCCAGACUCCUACGGGAGGCAGCAGUCGGGAAUUUUGGGCAAUGGGCGAAAGCCUGACCCAGCAACGCCGCGUGAAGGAUGAAGCUUUUCGGAGUGUAAACUUCAUAAGAAUGGGACGAAUAAGGAGGGGUUAACACCCCCUUUGAUGACGGUACCAUUUGUAAGCUCCGGCUAACUCCGUGCCAGCAGCCGCGGUAAUACGGGGGGAGCAAGCGUUGUUCGGAUUUACUGGGCGUAAAGGGCGCGUAGGCGGCGCAACAAGUCACUUGUGAAAUCUCCGGGCUUAACCCGGAGCGGCCAAGUGAUACUGUCGUGCUAGAGUGCGGAAGGGGCUACUGGAAUUCUCGGUGUAGCGGUGAAAUGCGUAAAUUUCGAGAGGAACACCUGCGGCGAAAGCGGGUAGCUGGGCCGACCCUGACCCUUAGGCGCGAAAGCCAGGGGAGCGAACGGGAUUAGAUACCCC